AUAGUUAUGGUUACAAAAUUCUACUGCUAUUAAAUUCUUCUUAACUUUAUUCUCGGUGUACUAUAUUCUAAAACUUUCUCAUUUUUGGUGCAUUCAUAGUGACUAAGAAUAUGUAAUUUUUUAAAAUGCAAGUAUUCAAUUUUUUCGGUUAAUUUUGGAAAGGAAUAUAUCUUGAUAAAUAUUCUUUAUGAAUAUUUAAUAACAUUUAUGAUGCUCUUUAUUUAUCUUCUUAAGGAUUAAAUUUUAAAUUUUAUGAAUUCAUAAUUUAUCAUGAUUGUUUGAUUUUUAAGGCAAUAAUUUAAUUUUAAUUUGGACUGACUUUAAUUACGGGAUCUCUCUUAUUGGAUGUUCAUUAUUUAUCUUUAUUAGUUUUAAUUGUAUUAGUUACGUUUUAAAUUGUGAUUGAAUAAAUAUUCUUUAUGAAUAUUUAGUACCAUUUAUGGGGGUCAUUAUUGAUGACAUUUUAUGCCUAUAAUGGCUUUUAGUGCCAUUUUUAUGGCUUAUUUAACCAUUUUGAUGGUCAUUGCAUUUAAUAUAUUUAAUUACGUGUUAACUUC
RNAcentral lists this long non-coding RNA (557 nucleotides) under Daucus carota (carrot). Its description in RNAcentral is "long non-coding RNA (DCAR_LNC000610)". Lineage: Eukaryota; Viridiplantae; Streptophyta; Magnoliopsida; Apiales; Apiaceae. The record is from RNAcentral.